GACGAACGCUGGCGGCGUGCUUAACACAUGCAAGUCGAACGAUGAAAGAGGAGCUUGCCUCUCUGGAUUAGUGGCGAACGGGUGAGUAACACGCGAGCAAUCCGCCCCUGACUGCGGAAUAUCUACUGGAAACUGUAGCUAAUACCGGAGAUGCGCUGAACAAGCACCUGUUUCGGUGGGAAAGAACUUCGGUCAGGGAUGAGCUCGCGGUGUAUCAGCUUGUUGGUGAGGUAACGGCCUAACAAGGCAACGAUGGAAAGCCGACCUGAGAGGCUGAUCGGCGACCUGGGAACGGAGACACGGUCCAGACGCCUAAGAGAGGCAGCAGAAGGGAAUCUUCCGCAACGGGCGAAAACAUGACGGAGCAACGGCGCGCGAGUGACGACGGCCUCGGGAUAGUAAAACUCUGUUAUUAGGUAAGAACAUAUGUGUAAGGAAAAGUGCACAUCGUGACGGUACCUAAACAGAAAGCCACGGCUAACUACGUG
Molecule: ribosomal RNA, 488 nt
Filed under: uncultured bacterium
Lineage: Bacteria
Description: partial 16S ribosomal RNA
Rfam family: Bacterial small subunit ribosomal RNA
Source: RNAcentral